RNAcentral lists this long non-coding RNA (2160 nucleotides) under Homo sapiens (human). RNAcentral describes it as "HSALNT0112925". Lineage: Eukaryota; Metazoa; Chordata; Mammalia; Primates; Hominidae. The record is from RNAcentral.
GGAAAGUACACUGAACUGGGAAAUAGAAAGUAUGAGUUUUCAAUCCACCACCGAGCCCCUAUGUUACCUUAGCUGGGAUAUCUACCUUCUCCUGCCCUCAGACAUCAGAACUCUUGUUUCUCAGGCCUUCUGGCUCAGACUGAAUUACACAAGCUUUCCUGGAUCUCUGGCUUGCAGAUGACAUACCAUGGGACUUCACUGGCCUUCAUAUCUUUUCAGGUAUGUCUUUAUCCGCAGCAUGAAAAUGGACUAAUACAGUAAAUUUGUACCAGUAGAGUGGGCAUUGGUGAAAAGAUACUUGAAAAUGUGGAAACGACUUUGGAACUGGGUAACAGGCAGAGAUUGGAACAGUUUGGAGGGCUCAGAAGAAGACAGGAAAAUUUGGGAAAGUCUGGAACUCCCUAGAGGCUUGUUAAAUUGCUUUGCCCAAAAUCCUGAUAGCAAUAUGGACAAUAAGGUCUAGGCUGAGGUUGUCUCAGAUGGAGAUGAGGAACUUGUGGCGAACUGGAGUAAAGAUGACUCUUGUUACGUUUUAGCAAAGAGAUUGGCAGCUUUUUGCCCUUGCCCUAGAGAUUUGUGGAACUUUGAACUUGAGAAAGAUGAUUUAGGGUAUCUGGCAGAAGACAUUUCUAAGCAACAAAAUAUUCAAGAGGUGACUUGGGUUCUGUUAAAGGAAUUAAGUUUUAUAAGGGAAGCAGAGCAUAUUGGGAAAAUUUGCAGCCUUACUAUGUGAUAGAAGAGAAAAACCCAUUUUCUGGGGAGAAAUUCAAGCUGGUUGCAGAAAUUUGCAUAAGUAGCAAGAAGCCUAAUGUUAAUCCCCAAGAGCAUGGGGAAAAUGUCUCCAGGCCAUGUCAGAGAACAUCACAGCAGCCCCUCCCAUCACAGGUCCUGAAGCCCAGGAGGAAAAAGCGGUUUUGUGGGCCUGGCCUAGGGUCCCCGUGCUAUGUGCAGCUUAGGGACUUGGUGCCCUGUGUCCCAGCCACUCUGGCCAUGGCUGAAAGGGGACAACCUACAGCCUGGGCUAUAGCUUCAGAGGGUGAAAGCCCCAAACCUUGGCAGCUUCCAUGUGGUGUUGAGCCUGCAGGUGCACAGAAGUCAAGAACUGAGGUUUGGGAUGCUCUCCUAGAUUUCGGAAGAUGUAUGGAAACACCUGGGUGCCCAGGCAGAAAUUUGCUGCAGGGGUGGGGCCCUCAUGGAGAACCUCUUCUAGGGCAGUACAGAAGGAAAUGUGAGGUCGGAGCCCCCACACAGAGUCCCUACUGGGGCACUGCCUAGUGGAGCUGUGAGAAGAGGGACACAGUCCUCCAAACCACAGAAUGGUAGAAUCACCUACAGCUUGCACUGUGUGCCUGGAAAAGCAGAAGACAAUCCCAGCCUGUGAAAGCAGCCAGGAAGGGGGCUGUACCCUGCAAAGCCACAGGGGCAGAGAUGAUGGGAACCCACCACUUGCAUCAGCAUGACCUGGAUGUGAGACCUGAAGUCGAAGGAGAUCAUUUUGAAGCUUUAAAAUUGGACUGCCCCUCUGGAUUUCGGACUUACAUGGGGCCUGUAGCCCCUUUGUUUUGGCCAAUUUCUCCCACUUGGAAUGGCUGUAUUUACUCAAUACCUGUACCCCCAUUGUAUCUAGGAAGUAAUUAACUUGCUUUUGAUUUUACAGGCUCAUAGGUGGAAGGGACUUGUCUUGUCUCAGAUGAGACUUUGGACUGUGGACUUUUGGGUUAAUGCUGAAAUGAGUUAAGACUUUGGGUACUGUUGUGAAGGCAUGAUUGGUUUUGGAAUAUGAAAACAUGAGAUUUGGAGGGGAUGGGGUGGAAUGAUAUGGUGUGGCUAUGUCCCCACCCAAAUCUCUACUGGAAUUGUAUCUUCCAGAAUUCCCACAUGUUGUAGGAGGGACCCAGGGGGAGUAAUUGAAUCAUGGAGGCUGGUCUUUCCCAUGGUAUUCUCGUGAUAGUGAAUAAGUCUCACGAGAUCUGAUGAGUUUAUCAGGGGUUUCUGCUUUUUCUUCUUGCUCCUCAUUUUCUCUUGCUGCUGCCAUGUAAGAAGUGCCUUUUGCUUCCCAUCAUGAUUCUGAGGCCUCCCCAGCCAUGUGAAACUGGAAGUCCAGUUAAGCAUGUUUUUCUUCCCAGUUUCGGGUAUGUCUUUAUAAGCGGCAUGAAAAUG